GUUUGCUUUAAAAAGUUCAAAACUCCUAAUGGAUUAUUGCAUUAUAUGUUAUGUUUUGGAUGGUAUUGCAUGAUUUUACAAUUCCAUGAUUUUUUUCCUUUUUCUUUUCUUCCCCUCCCUUUCCUCCCUCCCUCCCUUCUUCCCUCCUUCCUUCCUUUCCCCCCUCCCUCUCUUCCUUUUACAGGCAAUGGUGAGCCAUUGAAGGUUUCUGAACUAAACCCCUUCUUGGGAGCAGUUGGGGCUGAGGUGAAUCUGGCAACAACAUGGGUUGGACGGGCGGUGAAGGAAGCAGGAACAAGGAGAGUGGGUUGUCGUCCAAGCCAGUGAAAAAAGAAUUGAAUGGAAGAGGAGGAGGGAGUUGCCAACAGUGUGUGGAGCUGUGGAAAGCAGGUUAAUAUUAAUGUCCUGUGUUCAGGAGGGUUCCCGAGGACCUGAGGCUGACAUCCAAAGGGUAGGCAAUGCCCAUGGAGGUGACUGAGUUUUGAGGACCUGGAAUGAGGUGCUGCUCAGGAGACAGCCGAAAAGGGAAGGAUAUUGUGAUCUGCCAUCAGGAGUACCAGCCUUUGACCAACCUUGAGAGCAGCAACAUAAAGGGUGACCAGCUCUUCUGAAUUGUCUGUGACUGAGGGGCUCCAAUGACAUAGGAUUUUCCAUGCUAAAGCUAAGAAGAUCCUUAUAAAUCAGGACAAAUCAGCUACCUAUUAAUGAGCUUCUUGACCUUCUGAGCCUCAGUUUUUUCACUUGUAAGGUGGUGCUGAUGACACCUGGGACCUUUGUAUAAGCACUCUGCAAACUCCACGCUCUUCAUACCUGUUGGGGAUGGGUGAUUAUUACUGGUGGAGUGCCAUGGUGGAGGGAGGGGAAAGGGUGACUCUUCCCCAUCUUGAGAGCUGACCGAUCAAGACCCUGUCUGGAUGAAUACCAUGAUUUAUAUAUGCAGAGUUUAAGGCAACCGACCUCUCACAAUGAAGUUUUAGGGGAGCUGGGAGUGUAACUCAGUGGUAGAGCACUUGCCUAGCACGAGUGAGGUCCUGAGUUUGAUCCCCAGAACUGUCUCCUCCAAAAAAGGAAAUAUCUAUGGACCCUCUGACCAGGUAUGUGCUAGGCAUUGGAAUAAAACUGUGAAUAUCUGAGAUAUGCUCCUGUUCCUGAGACCAAAGCCUACUAGGGAAGGCAAGGAUCCAAAAGGAAGGGGGUGGGAAGGAUCAGGAAAUGUUUCUGAGGUAAGCAGAACCCUGGGGAGUGGGGUCUGGAUGCCAAGGGUGUUGUGUUGUGGGGAAAUGAGGCAUAAGGAAAGGAAGCCAGAGGCCCAGGCCCUGGUAUAUGGAAGGACAGAAUGGUUUAGUGUGGCUGGGCCAUGCAGGAGUGGAGUGAGAGAGGGGGGCCUGGGAGGUCUAUGUUCCCCCUGUGUGGGCCUUGAAUGCUCCCUCAUUUUUGGACUGAAUUCCUAGGACAUCAAGGGGCUGUGGUAGGGCUGGAGCAGAGCAAGGCACUUUCACAACUGUCCACUCAGCAGUUCCCAUGCAUAUCAUUAAACGAUAACACAAAUGAUUAGGGGCUGUCCUAAAAUGGCAUCCUGUGAGACCCAGGUCCUCUGACCUGACGGUGUGCCUCUGUCUGCUGAGCUCUGAAGGCCCUUGAACUAGCCCAUCCCCCGAGUGCCCUGCAACUCCCAAUCUGGUGCACCCAUCUAUACAUUCCCCAGGCAGGGGUCUGGCUGCCUAGCACAGGCUGUGAUGCCUCCUCCCAAGCACACUACUGUUACCUCAAUGUGUCUGUGUGGGCUGGAUGGCUGUGUGGCAAUGCACUCAGGGUGUGCUGCGGACUCGUCCAGCCCAGGCAGCUGAUUAAUCAUGAACAGUUACACCAACCUUCCCAGGAACAAAGAGGUAGGUAUGCACUCGUGUGUGUGUGUGCAUGCACACACACUACUGUGCACAUGCAUUUAGACUCGAUGAUAUUUAUGCCCACAUUUUCACUGAAACUCAGGCAAGCUCACAAAGACACUCCCUGCUACCUGGAUGAGAUGCAUAAACAUGACAUUAUAUUCAUCCCAGACAUGCUGCUCUAGCACUGACACACAUAAUGUUGUAAAUGCUGUCUACACAGUCUCAGAUAGAUGCCUGCACACCUGUGCUGCCCCAUACCACCUCUCACACUCUACAGAUAUGUCAUGAGGAUUAGAAAGGAGCAUCCAGAUUAAGCAUUUAACCCAAUCCCUGGCACAUAGGACUUUUGUAUUAUAGUUUAAUGAUAUUAUAUAUGAUUAUAUUAAGAUACUUCAAUGUGUGCACAUGUACUGUUACCCUCAUACUGAUACACAUAUACACUGCCACAUAUGUGCUUUUAAAAGCAGGUGCAAGCACAAGAACUUCACCCUUUAAUAAAACUGAUGCAUGC
Molecule: long non-coding RNA, 2400 nt
Filed under: Heterocephalus glaber (naked mole-rat)
Lineage: Eukaryota; Metazoa; Chordata; Mammalia; Rodentia; Bathyergidae
Description: lncRNA (ENSHGLG00100051261.1)
Source: RNAcentral